Molecule: unclassified non-coding RNA, 302 nt
Filed under: soil metagenome
Description: partial internal transcribed spacer 1
Source: RNAcentral
UAAAAGGAUCAGCAUGUCGGUUGACAGCAGCAUAGUUCUGCAGUUCCGACUUCAAGUGCUCAAUCUUUCUCCCAGCCAAUGAAUUGCUAAAGAUUCGUUGAAGCUCUUCAACGUUGAUUUACAGUUUGUUGUCCUGUGGAUCCAGAAAGAAACAUCUUGUGAACCGUUCCGCCUCUGGCGAGAGGGUAGUGAAGAACUACUUGUCAGCAUUGCUUUUUGCGGUGCCGUGGACAGCUCGCCAACCCCUUCUAAACAUAUAUUUAUUUUUUUAUGCCAGACAUUUAUUGUAUAAAUAUACAAAA